GGUUAUGUACUUUAUUUAAAAGACUUAGCUUGCACCUAAAACUAGAGGCCUACUCCGUAACCAC
Molecule: transfer RNA, 64 nt
Filed under: Unio tumidus
Lineage: Eukaryota; Metazoa; Mollusca; Bivalvia; Unionida; Unionidae
Description: tRNA-Ala
Source: RNAcentral